Molecule: non-coding RNA, 74 nt
Organism: Aedes albopictus (Asian tiger mosquito)
Lineage: Eukaryota; Metazoa; Arthropoda; Insecta; Diptera; Culicidae
Source: Rfam
UGUUCUGUGGCUUAGUUGGUUAAAGCGCCGGUCUAGCGAAUACGGAGUCGUGGGUUCAAAUCCCACCAGAACGC